AGGGAACGUACAGUACUCCAGGAAUUUAAAAAACAGGUUAGGAACCCUGAUUUCCAUGCUGGCUUAAGUCAAGUGCGUUACCUGUUGAACCAACGCGCCUCUUUGUACCGUGGCCACGUCUUGCCUGUGACCUGCAGCGGGUGUUCAACCACUUUUUCAGUAUCUGCUGUGCAGUACCAGCCUGGCCUAAUCUUCCUUCUCUCGUUGUCCUGAGGCCCCAAAGUGUUUGGCAUCCAGGGAGUGCAGCUCUUAAGGACCAUACACAGUGCAAAGUGGUAAAGGCUGAGACCCUAUUCGUCUUUCAAGCCCUGCCUGUCUAG
Molecule: long non-coding RNA, 320 nt
Filed under: Struthio camelus australis
Lineage: Eukaryota; Metazoa; Chordata; Aves; Struthioniformes; Struthionidae
Description: lncRNA (ENSSCUG00000013296.1)
Source: RNAcentral